GACGACCGCGCACGGUGCGUAACACGUAUGCAACCUACUCUUACUCGGGGAUAGCCCAGAGAAAUUUGGAUUAACACCCCAUAGUAUCACCAGUUCGCAUGAUCAGGUGAUUAAAGGUUACGGUAAGAGAUGGGCAUGCGCCCCAUUAGCUAGUUGGUGAGGUAACGGCUCACCAAGGCUACGAUGGUAGGGGGUCUGAGAGGACUAUCCCCCACACUGGUACUGAGACACGGACCAGACUCCUACGGGAGGCAGCAGUGAGGAAUAUUGCGCAAUGGACGAAAGUCUGACGCAGCCAUGCCGCGUGCAGGAUGACGGCGCUAUGCGUUGUAAACUGCUUUUAUAUGCCAAGAAACCUUCGGACGUGUCCGAAGCUGACGGUAGCAUAUGAAUAAGCACCGGCCAACUCCGUG
RNAcentral lists this ribosomal RNA (413 nucleotides) under uncultured bacterium. RNAcentral's name for it is "bacterial SSU rRNA". It matches the Rfam family "Bacterial small subunit ribosomal RNA", at positions 91 to 507 of the family's 1533-position model. The record is from RNAcentral.